AGUGAACGCUGGCGGUAGGCCUAACACAUGCAAGUCGAACGGCAGCACAGUAAGAGCUUGCUCUUACGGGUGGCGAGUGGCGGACGGGUGAGGAAUACAUCGGAAUCUACUUUUUCGUGGGGGAUAACGUAGGGAAACUUACGCUAAUACCGCAUACGACCUACGGGUGAAAGCAGGGGAUCUUCGGACCUUGCGCGAUUGAAUGAGCCGAUGUCGGAUUAGCUAGUUGGCGGGGUAAAGGCCCACCAAGGCGACGAUCCGUAGCUGGUCUGAGAGGAUGAUCAGCCACACUGGAACUGAGACACGGUCCAGACUCCUACGGGAGGCAGCAGUGGGGAAUAUUGGACAAUGGGCGCAAGCCUGAUCCAGCCAUACCGCGUGGGUGAAGAGGGCCUUCGGGUUGUAAAGCCCUUUUGUUGGGAAAGAAAAGCAGCAGGUUAAUACCCCGCUGUUCUGACGGUACCUAAAGAAUAAGCACCGGCUAACUUCGUG
This 492-nucleotide ribosomal RNA is filed under the name uncultured bacterium. RNAcentral describes it as "partial 16S ribosomal RNA". It matches the Rfam family "Bacterial small subunit ribosomal RNA", at positions 29 to 507 of the family's 1533-position model. The record is from RNAcentral.